UGGGGAAUUUUGGACAAUGGGCGCAAGCCUGAUCCAGCAAUGCCGCGUGCAGGAUGAAGGCCUUCGGGUUGUAAACUGCUUUUGUGCGGAACGAAACGGUCUUUUCUAAUACAGAAGGCUAAUGACGGUACCGUAAGAAUAAGCACCGGCUAACUACGUGCCAGCAGCCGCGGUAAUACGGAGGGGGCUAGCGUUGUUCGGAAUUACUGGGCGUAAAGCGUGCGCAGGCGGUUAUGCAAGACAGAUGUGAAAUCCCCGGGCUCAACCUGGGAACUGCAUUUGUGACUGCAUAGCUGGAGUGCGGCAGAGGGGGAUGGAAUUCCGCGUGUAGCAGUGAAAUGCGUAGAUAUGCGGAGGAACACCGAUGGCGAAGGCAAUCCCCUGGGCCUGCACUGACGCUCAUGCACGAAAGCGUGGGGAGCAAACA
Molecule: ribosomal RNA, 427 nt
Filed under: uncultured bacterium
Lineage: Bacteria
Description: bacterial SSU rRNA
Rfam family: Bacterial small subunit ribosomal RNA
Source: RNAcentral